GGGAAGAGAGAUAACAUAUACAAUUUGUAAAGGCUUCACUUAAAAGUCCAACCUAAGGACUUUAAAAGAUACUUCCACUUUGCAGAAAAUAAAGGCACAGUGUCAAUACAUAAACGUGAGGACUGAUGGCUGGAAAAAACGUGAAAGAAUACGUCCCAGAAGGGGAAAUGGACAGCUCCAGCCCAGCUUGCUUUCAGCUGUGUCCUACACUGACAACACUCAGGAAGGCUCCUGAACCCACGCAGGUCAGAAGGAGAUGACCCACAUGUCUGUGCAUUCUCCAGGGUACUUCAGGCAGUGUGACAUGCUCAUCAGUACCAAGGGGGAUGUUCUGUGAGCUGCUGAGGGUGUCCUGCAGCUCUGUGGUGGCUCACAAACAGGUUAACAUCUGUGCAAGAG
Colius striatus (speckled mousebird) is the source of this 399-nucleotide long non-coding RNA. RefSeq lists it as uncharacterized. The transcript is spliced from 3 exons. NCBI's taxonomy places the organism in Eukaryota, Metazoa, Chordata, Aves, Coliiformes, Coliidae. The record is from RefSeq and is a predicted model, not a curated record.